CCUACGGGGGGCUGCAGUGGGGAAUAUUGGACAAUGGGGGGAACCCUGAUCCAGCCAUGCCGCGUGUGUGAAGAAGGCCCUCGGGUUGUAAAGCACUUUCAGUGAGGAAGAACGCCUGGUGGUUAAUACCCAUCAGGAAAGACAUCACUCACAGAAGAAGCACCGCCUAACUCCGUGCCAGCAGCCGCGGUAAUACGGAGGGUGCGAGCGUUAAUCGGAAUUACUGGGCGUAAAGCGCGCGUAGGUGGCUUGAUAAGCCGGUUGUGAAAGCCCCGGGCUCAACCUGGGAACGGCAUCCGGAACUGUCAAGCUAGAGUGCAGGAGAGGAAGGUAGAAUUCCCGGUGUAGCGGUGAAAUGCGUAGAGAUCGGGAGGAAUACCAGUGGCGAAGGCGGCCUUCUGGACUGACACUGACACUGAGGUGCGAAAGCGUGGGUAGCAAACAGGAUUAGAUACCCCAGUAGUC
Molecule: ribosomal RNA, 465 nt
Filed under: Vreelandella stevensii
Lineage: Bacteria; Pseudomonadati; Pseudomonadota; Gammaproteobacteria; Oceanospirillales; Halomonadaceae
Description: partial 16S ribosomal RNA
Rfam family: Bacterial small subunit ribosomal RNA
Source: RNAcentral